CGCGGGCAGCAGCCGCAGCAGCAGCUCGUCCGUCAGCUCCGUGAAGCACAGCUCCACCGCGCCGAUGUGCUCCGCGCUCUGCUCCAGGGCAAGGGAACAGCUCAGGGAAAAUGAAGAGGCAGCCCCAGAGAGUGAGGAAUUACAGCAAGGAAUUCAUAGAGACACCUGAAACUGUUGGAAUUUUUCCAACAAACUCUACUCCAGUGCAAUAAGGAGCUGCAGCUGAUAGAACCUGGAUUUGCAGGAGAGGCAAUUUUCACAAAUGCCCAGAGAAAAACAAUCAGAAAUCCAAAGGAAAACAACAUGUUGGGCUUGUUGCUUCUGAAAAUGACUCCCUGGAAGAGAAUUGGCCCGAAAUAAGGAUUUGUGUUACAAUAAAUGAGAG
Long non-coding RNA from Ficedula albicollis (Collared flycatcher), 385 nucleotides. RefSeq lists it as uncharacterized. The record is from RefSeq and is a predicted model, not a curated record. Lineage: Eukaryota; Metazoa; Chordata; Aves; Passeriformes; Muscicapidae. The transcript has 3 exons.